UAAGAUUGCUCUUUUUCUUUUUACAAGGGAUAAGAUUGCUCUUGACGUCAAAGGGGAGAGGGAGGAUUAGGUCCAUGAUGAAGCAGCCAUCUGGCAGCUUGUUGGCAUCCCAGUUGCAGAUCCAUUGGCAGCCAUCUGGGAGGAUUAGGUAGAUCCAUUGCUGAUUCACCACCCUGGAUGAGCCUUUGUUAGGUGGUCAGGUGGCGGCUUUAAUGUUCAGCCAUCAAUGGUGAUUUUUCUUCAGCAAGUUCUCAUGAUGGAUCACAUAUUUUUCUCAGUAGGUGGGGAGGCGAUAUCAACGAGAAAGUUGACAUAAUCGGCAGCCACCAGUCAUCAGGAUUCAGCUCAAGCAACCCCAAUACUGCUUAAUCAUCUUCCACUGCAGUGUUGAAGAUGAAACUAGGGAAGACGGUUGUGAUGUCCCUGAAUUUUUGAGGGGUAAGAAAUCAGUAAACAAUACUAGAGCCCUGGCUUGUAUUUAUGGAUCUCUUUUGCUGUACUACUUUGCAGAUAAGAUUUUGCAUGGAUUCCAAACAUUAGCAUGUUUGACAAAACAUCAUGAUAUACCUACUUUUCCAUAAAGAUCACAAGAACAGAUGCAAACCUUAGAUAGGGCAGUGUCAUGUUCUUUAACAGGUUUGGG
RNAcentral lists this long non-coding RNA (643 nucleotides) under Setaria italica (foxtail millet). RNAcentral describes it as "long non-coding RNA (SITA_LNC003892)". Lineage: Eukaryota; Viridiplantae; Streptophyta; Magnoliopsida; Poales; Poaceae. The record is from RNAcentral.